Molecule: long non-coding RNA, 529 nt
Organism: Dreissena polymorpha
Lineage: Eukaryota; Metazoa; Mollusca; Bivalvia; Myida; Dreissenidae
Exons: 3
Source: RefSeq, a predicted model, not a curated record
AAUUGAAGGCCGUAGUUAUGGACGCUUAUGCACAUAUUUUGUUUUUGCGCACGGCCCUUUCUGCCCAGCGUUCUGCGCGGAUUGUAUAAAUUUGCGACAAAAUGGGCACUGGAAUAUACUAAAAUUCGCUGACCAACAGCAAUACGCAUAACAAUCAAGAUGUCGUGUCCCGGGUGUAACGGAGGUGGUGUGUGCUUCAAGUGUGACAAGUGUGGGGCCCUGCAGUGCAAGAACAACCGCUGUAAGCACCAUAACUCGGCAGCGGCCAGUAAGUGUGCCUCAUGUGGCAAGUCCGGAGGACAGAAAAGCGUCUAGCCACUGGCGUGAGAUACGUCGGCCACCCACAAGACGCAUGUUGUACCGCUUGGAUCGUCAAACCAGGGCAUAUUGACAAAACUACAUUUUAAAAUCGAACAUAUUCUGUUUCACUAAUAAUAUAUAAAUUCUUAUAUUGUUCUAUUUGUUUUAUUAAAUCAUCACUAUACCAUUAUUUAUAAAAUUGUAUCAUAUUAAACUGCUCGAAACCAUC